This 491-nucleotide ribosomal RNA is filed under the name uncultured bacterium. Its description in RNAcentral is "partial 16S ribosomal RNA". It matches the Rfam family "Bacterial small subunit ribosomal RNA", at positions 29 to 507 of the family's 1533-position model. The record is from RNAcentral.
GUGAACGCUGGCGGUAGGCCUAACACAUGCAAGUCGAACGGCAGCACAGUAAGAGCUUGCUCUUACGGGUGGCGAGUGGCGGACGGGUGAGGAAUACAUCGGAAUCUACUUUUUCGUGGGGGAUAACGUAGGGAAACUUACGCUAAUACCGCAUACGACCUACGGGUGAAAGCAGGGGAUCUUCGGACCUUGCGCGAUUGAAUGAGCCGAUGUCGGAUUAGCUAGUUGGCGGGGUAAAGGCCCACCAAGGCGACGAUCCGUAGCUGGUCUGAGAGGAUGAUCAGCCACACUGGAACUGAGACACGGUCCAGACUCCUACGGGAGGCAGCAGUGGGGAAUAUUGGACAAUGGGCGCAAGCCUGAUCCAGCCAUACCGCGUGGGUGAAGAAGGCCUUCGGGUUGUAAAGCCCUUUUGUUGGUAAAGAAAAGCAGCAGGUUAAUACCCCGCUGUUCUGACGGUACCCAAAGAAUAAGCACCGGCUAACUUCGUG